This 253-nucleotide ribosomal RNA is filed under the name uncultured bacterium. RNAcentral describes it as "partial 16S ribosomal RNA". It matches the Rfam family "Bacterial small subunit ribosomal RNA", at positions 524 to 776 of the family's 1533-position model. The record is from RNAcentral.
UACGUAGGGUGCGAGCGUUGUCCGGAAUUACUGGGCGUAAAGAGCUCGUAGGUGGUUUGUCGCGUUGUCCGUGAAAACUCACAGCUUAACUGUGGGCGUGCGGGCGAUACGGGCAGACUGGAGUACUGCAGGGGAGACUGGAAUUCCUGGUGUAGCGGUGGAAUGCGCAGAUAUCAGGAGGAACACCGGUGGCGAAGGCGGAUCUCUGGGCCUUACCUGACGCUCAGGUGCGAAAGCUAGGGGAGCGAACAGG